CCGCAGGGCGCUUUGCGCGACAGCGCAAAGGCAGGCGGUUUCGCGUAGCGAAAGCGAAUGCUUUGGGGUGGGGUGACUGCGUACCUUUUGUAUAAUGGGUCAGCGACUUAUAUUCUGUAGCAAGGUUAACCGAAUAGGGGAGCCGGAGGGAAACCGAGUCUUAAUUGGGCGUUAAGUUGCAGGGUAUAGACCCGAAACCCGGUGAUCUAGCCAUGGGCAGGUUGAAGGUUGGGUAACACUAACUGGAGGACCGAACCGACUAAUGUUGAAAAAUUAGCGGAUGACCUGUGGCUGGGGGUGAAAGGCCAAUCAAACCGGGAGAUAGCUGGUUCUCCCCGAAAGCUAUUUAGGUAGCGCCUCGUGAAUU
RNAcentral lists this ribosomal RNA (367 nucleotides) under Salmonella enterica. RNAcentral describes it as "partial 23S ribosomal RNA". The stretch from base 53 to 367 matches the Rfam family "Bacterial large subunit ribosomal RNA", at positions 572 to 890 of the family's 2925-position model. Lineage: Bacteria; Pseudomonadati; Pseudomonadota; Gammaproteobacteria; Enterobacterales; Enterobacteriaceae. The record is from RNAcentral.